UACGGAGGGUGCAAACGUUGCUCGGAAUCAUUGGGCGUAAAGCGCACGUAGGUGGCCUGUUAAGUCGGGUGUGAAAUCCCUGGGCUCAACCCAGGAAGUGCACUCGAAACUGGCAGGCUUGAGUACUGAAGAGGGUCGCGGAAUUCCCGGUGUAGAGGUGAAAUUCGUAGAUAUCGGGAGGAACACCAGUGGCGAAGGCGGCGGCCUGGGCAGAUACUGACACUGAGGUGCGAAAGCGUGGGGAGCAAACAAG
This 253-nucleotide ribosomal RNA is filed under the name uncultured bacterium. RNAcentral's name for it is "partial 16S ribosomal RNA". It matches the Rfam family "Bacterial small subunit ribosomal RNA", at positions 524 to 776 of the family's 1533-position model. The record is from RNAcentral.